Podarcis lilfordi (Lilford's wall lizard) is the source of this 126-nucleotide non-coding RNA. NCBI's taxonomy places the organism in Eukaryota, Metazoa, Chordata, Lepidosauria, Squamata, Lacertidae. The record is from the annotation of a GenBank genome assembly.
CCUAGCAUCCCUCCCUCCCGAUACAGCCUUUCUCAACCUGUGGGUCCCCAGAUGUUAUUAUUAGUUCAACAACAUCUGGGGACCCACAGGUUGAGAAAGGCUGUAUCGGGAGGGAGGGAUGCUAGG